Molecule: ribosomal RNA, 88 nt
Filed under: Vibrio cholerae
Lineage: Bacteria; Pseudomonadati; Pseudomonadota; Gammaproteobacteria; Vibrionales; Vibrionaceae
Also listed under: 3 other names
Description: partial 16S ribosomal RNA
Rfam family: Bacterial small subunit ribosomal RNA
Source: RNAcentral
GAGGACGCUUGCCACUUUGUGGUUCAUGACUGGGGUGAAGUCGUAACAAGGUAGCGCUAGGGGAACCUGGCGCUGGAUCACCUCCUUA